AAAAACAAAAACUGAUGAGAUGCCCAUAAAGUGUUAAUUCAAGCUCCAGUGAGGCCGCAGCCCCCCGUCUGAUGCUCCUGAAGUCACCGACUCUAAAUGGUGUCGGGCCCUCUUGCCAGUGACUAGCCCCAUGCUUUAAGCUCUCAGAAUCCUUCUGACAUCGGGGUUCUUCCCUCUCAAGGCUUUCCACGAACCCUGUCACUAGUUGUGACCCACACAUGUCCUGUUCGCCUCACAUUUAGGGCUUAUUGUCUAUUUUCACAAAGAUGUCUCAUCUCUCUUCUCCUCCCCGGCCCUGCAGUCCCUGGUACGUGAGCCCCUUUCCCGGCGCCGGCAGCUGCUCCGGGAGAACUUUGUGGAGACGGAGGGCGAGUUUGUCUUCGCCACCUCCCUGGACACCAAGGACGUCGAGCAGAUCGCUGAGUUCCUGGAGCAGUCGGUGAAAGACUCCUGCGAGGGGCUGAUGGUGAAGACCCUGGAUGUUGAUGCCACCUACGAGAUCGCCAAGAGAUCGCACAACUGGCUCAAGCUGAAGAAGGACUACCUUAAUGGCGUGGGUGACACCCUGGACCUGGUGGUG
Molecule: small RNA, 580 nt
Filed under: Pongo abelii (Sumatran orangutan)
Lineage: Eukaryota; Metazoa; Chordata; Mammalia; Primates; Hominidae
Description: retained intron
Source: RNAcentral